UGCAGUCGAGCGACGAUAAGGAGCUUGCUCCUUUGACGUUGGCGGCGGACGGGUGAGUACACGUGGGUAACCUACCUAUAAGACUGGGAUAACUUCGGGAAACCGGAGCUAAUACCGGAUAACAUUUGGAACCGCAGGGUUCUAAAGUGAAAGAUGGUUUUGCUAUCACUUAUAAUGGACCCGCGCCGUAUUACUAGUUGGUAAGGUAACGGCUUACCAAGACGAUACGUACCGACCUGAAGGGUGAUCGGCCACACUGGAACUGAGACACGGACCAGACUCCUACGGGAGGCAGCAGUAGGGAAUCUUCCGCAAUGGGCGAAAGCCUGACGGAGCAACGCCGCGUGAGUGAUGAAGGGUUUCGGCUCGUAAAACUCUGUUAUUAGGGAAGAACAAACGUGUAAGUAACUGUGCACGUCUUGACGGUACCUAAUCAGAAAGCCACGGCUAACUACGUGCCAGCAGCCGCGGUAAUACGUAGUGGCAAGCGUUAUCCGGAAUUAUUGGGCGUAAAGCGCGCGUAGCGGUUUCUUAAUCUGAUGUGAAAGCCCACGGCUCAACCGUGGAGGGUCAUUGGAAACUGGGAAACUUGAGUGCAGAAAGGAAAGUGGAAUUCCAUGUGUAGCGGUGAAAUGCGCAGAGAUAUGGAGGAACACCAGUGGCGAAGGCGACUUUCUGGUCUGUAACUGACGCUGAUGUGCGAAAGCGUGGGGAUCAAACAGGAUUAGAUACCCUGGUAGUCCACGCCGUAAACGAUGAGUGCUAAGUGUUAGGGGGUUUCCGCCCCUUAGUGCUGCAGCUAACGCAUUAAGCACUCCGCCUGGGGAGUACGACCG
Molecule: ribosomal RNA, 836 nt
Filed under: Staphylococcus saprophyticus
Lineage: Bacteria; Bacillati; Bacillota; Bacilli; Caryophanales; Staphylococcaceae
Description: bacterial SSU rRNA
Rfam family: Bacterial small subunit ribosomal RNA
Source: RNAcentral